AGAGUUUGAUCAUGGCUCAGGACGAACGCUGGCGGCGUGCUUAACACAUGCAAGUGGUGCGACGAACCGGAGCUUGCUCCGGGGCAGAGCCGCGAACGGGUGAGUAACACGUGGGUUACCUGCCCUGAUGACCGGGACAACCCGUCGAAAGACGGGCUAAUACCGGAUGUGCCCGCAAGGGGAAAGGAGGCGCAAGCUUCCGCAUCGGGAUGGGCCCGCGGAGCAUUAGCUUGUUGGUGAGGUAAAAGCUCACCAAGGCUUCGAUGCUUAGCUGGUCUGAGAGGACGAUCAGCCACACUGGGACUGAGACACGGCCCAGACUCCUACGGGAGGCAGCAGUGGGGAAUCUUGCGCAAUGCGCGAAAGCGUGACGCAGCAACGCCACGUGCGGGAAGACGGCCUUCGGGUUGUAAACCGCUUUCAGUUGGGACGAAGCUUCUGCAGUUAAUACCUGUAUGGAGUGACGGUACCUUCAGAAGAAGCCCCGGCUAACUACGUGCCAGCAGCCGCGGUAAUACGUAGGGGGCAAGCGUUGUCCGGAAUCAUUGGGCGUAAAGCGCGUGUAGGCGGCUGAGCAAGUCUGUUCUGAAAGCCCGAGGCUCAACCUCGGGAGGCGAAUGGAUACUGCUCAGCUCGAGUCCGGAAGAGGAGUGUGGAAUUCCUGGUGUAGCGGUGAAAUGCGCAGAUAUCAGGAGGAACACCAAUUGCGAAGGCAGCACUCUGGGACGUGACUGACGCUGAGACGCGAAAGCGUGGGGAGCAAACAGGAUUAGAUACCCUAGUAGUCC
RNAcentral lists this ribosomal RNA (788 nucleotides) under uncultured bacterium. Its description in RNAcentral is "bacterial SSU rRNA". It matches the Rfam family "Bacterial small subunit ribosomal RNA", at positions 8 to 796 of the family's 1533-position model. The record is from RNAcentral.